AUGGCAGCACCAAAGCCCAUUACUCGCCUUAUUUCCCAUGUCAUUCUUGAUUUGGAUGGUACCCUCUUAAACACAGAUUGCAUUGUAAGCCAGGUGCUGAAACCAUUUCUUGUUAAAAAUGGGAAAAAGUGGGAUAGCAAGAAAGCUCACAAAUUUGUUGGAAAGACACCUUAUGAAGCUGCAGCUGUUGUUUUAGAAGAUUACGGACUCCCUUACUCCACCGAAGAGUUCCUCUCCUUGAUUAAUCCAAUGUUCAGCGAGCAAUGGGGCAACAUAAAAGCUCUUCCUGGAGCUAAUCGGUUAAUAAAACAUUUGAAGAGCAGCAGGGUGCCAGCUGCUUUAGCUUCCAACUCUUCAAGAUCAAACAUUGAAUCCAAAAUCUCGUGCCAUCAAGGAUGGAAAGAGUAUUUCUCUGCAAUUGUUGGUGCUGAUGAAGUAGAGUCAGGAAAGCCAUCCCCAGAUAUAUUUCUGGAAGCUGCAAAAAGAAUGAAUGCUGAUCCUUCAAAUUGCCUAGUAAUUGAGGAUUCCGUGCCAGGUGUUACGGCUGGCAAAGCUGCAGGAAUGCAUGUCAUAGCUGUCCCUUCAGUACCCAAAAGGACCGAUGAAUUCAGUUCAGCUGAUGAGAUUAUCAACUCCCUCCUCGACUUAAGGCCUGAAAAAUGGGGUUUGCGACCCUUCAAUGAUUGGAUUGAAGGUACCUUACCAAUAGACCCAUGGUUUAUUGGUGGACCUGUGAUCAAAGGAUUUGGCCGUGGUUCUAAAGUACUAGGAAUACCAACAGCGAACUUGGCUGCAGAAAACUUUUCCGACAUACUGUCGGAUCAUACAUCAGGUGUAUACUUUGGGUGGGCUGGACUUCCGAAGCGAGGCAUAUACAAGAUGGUCAUGAGCAUCGGCUGGAACCCUUAUUUUGAUAACACAGAGAAGACAAUCGAACCAUGGUUGCUUCAUGGUUUUGAUGAGGACUUCUAUGGAGAGGAGCUGCGCCUUGUUAUCGUUGGGUACAUACGACCUGAGGCAAACUUUCCUUCGCUCGAGAGCUUGAUAGAGAGGAUUCAUGAGGACGGGAGAAUCGCAGAGAACGCCCUAGAUUUGCCGGAGUAUGCCAAGUACAAAGAGUCGCCGUAUUUGAGAAACCCGUUGCAACAGGGUGCUGCUACUGGCGGGAACGAGGCGGAGCAAGAGUUUAUAUAA
RNAcentral lists this ribosomal RNA (1194 nucleotides) under Triticum aestivum (bread wheat). RNAcentral's name for it is "partial small subunit ribosomal RNA". Lineage: Eukaryota; Viridiplantae; Streptophyta; Magnoliopsida; Poales; Poaceae. The record is from RNAcentral.